ACCCGCUGAAUUUAAGCAUAUAAGUAAGAGGAGGAAAAGAAACAAACAUGUAUUUCCAUAGUAAUGGCGAAUGAACGGGAAUAAAUUCAGAAUGAUAAUCUUUGCUUUUGGCUUCGAUUUGUAAUUUCAAAAUGCAUUACCAAUGGAGGCGCAGGUGUAAGAUUUGUGGAAAUAACACCAUCGAGGGCAAGAGCCCCGUUCAUCAUCUGCAGUCCUCUAUGUACGGUGUGCAUUUACAGAGUCACGUUCCUCGGGAUUGGAACGCAAAGUGAGUGGUACAUUUCAUAACAAAUUAAAUAUAAUUUCGAGACCGAUAGCACACAAGUACCAUGAGGGAAAAUGAAAAGGACUUUGAAAAGAGAGUUAAAAGUACCUGAAAUCGUUGAAGGGGAAGCGAAUGGGAUCAGUUAAACUUGGCGAGAUUGUUGCACUAGUCUCCCACAGCUGCGCAUUCAAAGCGAUAGUGCUGCUUGCGAUGAAACUAGUGUAGCGGUGCUCAACAUGUUUGUCAGCACUAAUCUGGCGAUGUGCAAAACCUUCAGUAUAAGGUAAGCAGCCUGCUGGAUGCUGAAUGUACUGAUAGGUGCUCAUUUCCAGUUUAUUACAUCAAUGCUUUGUUGUGAUUGUGUUGCUUUGUUUAGCUUUUGCUUUUAAUCGGGCUCUAGCUGUCUGAUGCAAUGCGGUUUCAAAAGCUUGUCUGCUGACGAAAUGGUCUCAUUUGACCCGUCUUGAAACACGGACCAAGG
RNAcentral lists this ribosomal RNA (746 nucleotides) under Cochlodinium strangulatum. RNAcentral describes it as "LSU rRNA". It matches the Rfam family "Eukaryotic large subunit ribosomal RNA", at positions 23 to 671 of the family's 3401-position model. The record is from RNAcentral. Lineage: Eukaryota; Dinophyceae; Gymnodiniales; Gymnodiniaceae.